RNAcentral lists this long non-coding RNA (1083 nucleotides) under Bos indicus x Bos taurus (hybrid cattle). Its description in RNAcentral is "lncRNA (ENSBIXG00000010877.1)". Lineage: Eukaryota; Metazoa; Chordata; Mammalia; Artiodactyla; Bovidae. The record is from RNAcentral.
CUCAGACAGUAAAGUCUGCCCUCAAGGCAGGAGACCCGGGUUCAAUCUCUGGGUUGGAAAGAUCCCCUGGAGGAGGAAAUGCAACCUACUCCAGUAUUCUUGCCUGGAAAAUCCCAUGGACAGAGGAGCCUGGCGGGCUACAGUCUGUGGGGUCGCAAAGAGUUGGACACGACUGAGCAAUUAACACUUGUAUGAUGUGCUCAAAAGUUGUACUAUAGUAGAUGCAAGCUACUGCAUAAAAAAUAGAUAAACAAGGACCUACUGUAUAGCACAGGUAACUGUAUUCAAUAUCUUGUAAUAACCUAUAAUGGAAAAGAAACAGAAAGAAUAUAUAUGCAUACAUAUAACAAAGUCAUUUUGCUGUACAUCAGAAAUUAACACAACAUUGUAAAUCAAUGAUACUUUAAUUUAAAAAAAUUUUUUUAAGUUUUAAAGCAGACUUUGAAGAAGGAAGUCAGUAAGUAGAAGAUAAUUCAUUUUUACUUAUGUUGAUUUGGGAUUGUUUGUGGAACACCCACGUAAAGACGUUCAGAUAGCCAAGAUUUUGGAAGGGAGCUGUGGUCUGGAGGUGUAGAUUUAACAAACAUCUUAAGUGGGAGCUGAAGCUGCUGAAGGGGAGGACACCACAGGGUGGAAAGGGGCAGGGCUGGGGAACAGUGCAGAGGAAGACACAGUAGGGAGUGAGGGCUGGGCAGCUCAGAGCCGGGCUCAGAAGCAGAUGGGGGCUGGCAGCACAGCAGCAGGUCCUGGAAAUUUGAACUAGUGAAAUACAUCAGCAGCUGGCAGGGUUUACCGUAUUUCAGAUGGCUUUAGACUGUAGAUCUGUAAUGCACUAGUAACAAUUUUCUAAUGACACAGGGUUGAUCACUAGGAGAUGAGUGUCAUCAAGAAUGACUUCUGCUUUGCUCACCAAAAUCUCCCGAGGCCCUGUUUUUGGAAGGAACCUGCCCCCCUGGGCUGGGCAGUGGCUUCGAUGGUUGAAGGCUGGUCAGGACAAAGCCAUCUUCACUGAGCCUUCCUGCCAUCUCACCUGAGGGUCCAGAGAAGAUGGUGAGGCCAGGGGCAAGUGAGAGGGUUCUCACA